AAACAACUUCUAGUAAUCAAUUUUGCCCCAGAACCUAAUCAGUAGGCUUUGGCCUCCACUGAAAAGAUCUGGUUAGGUCCAACCAUUAACAUGACUUGAUUUGAUGAAUCAGACCAAUAAAUGAUCAGGCCCGACUUUGGCCGGCCAACCUGACCACAUCAGAAAGACUCAAACCAAAUUAUCAUACUAUGAAUGAUAAUUUCAUUAGUCAAUAAGCAUCAGACCUUUGGGCCUCCAAUGAUUAUUAAACUAAUGGACUCAUUAUCACUCACUUAAUGGGAGGCUAUGACUUAGUUAUCACUAUAACUUAAUCAUUUUAGGGACCUAAUAAUUUUGAGAAUUUUAUUAAGUGAAGGAAGAGAAGAAAUUAACCAGCCAAUUUCAAUCCUCCCACUGACUUCACCAAGUCAGAUUAAAAAAGAUUUAAUUAAAGCCGGCACU
RNAcentral lists this long non-coding RNA (441 nucleotides) under Elaeis guineensis (African oil palm). RNAcentral's name for it is "long non-coding RNA (EGUI_LNC059966)". Lineage: Eukaryota; Viridiplantae; Streptophyta; Magnoliopsida; Arecales; Arecaceae. The record is from RNAcentral.